RNAcentral lists this ribosomal RNA (493 nucleotides) under uncultured Novosphingobium sp. Its description in RNAcentral is "bacterial SSU rRNA". It matches the Rfam family "Bacterial small subunit ribosomal RNA", at positions 8 to 524 of the family's 1533-position model. Lineage: Bacteria; Pseudomonadati; Pseudomonadota; Alphaproteobacteria; Sphingomonadales; Sphingomonadaceae. The record is from RNAcentral.
AGAGUUUGAUCCUGGCUCAGAGCGAACGCUGGGGCAGGCCUAACACAUGCAAGUCGAACGCCGUAGCAAUACGGAGUGGCAGACGGGAUAGUAACACGUGGGAACGCGCCCUACGGUUCGGAAUAACUCAGGGAAACUUGAGCUAAUACCGGAUACGCCCUUACGGGGAAAGAUUUAUUGCCGAAGGAACGGCCCGCGUCGGAUUAGCUAGUUGGUGAGGUAAUGGCUCACCAAGGCGACGAUCCGUAGCUGGUCUGAGAGGAUGACCAGCAUCACUGGGACUGAGACACGGCCCAGACUCCUACGGGAGGCAGCAGUGGGGAAUAUUGGACAAUGGGCGCAAGCCUGAUCCAGCAAUACCGCGUGUGUGAAGAAGGCCUGAGGGUUGUAAAGCACUUUUAAUAGGGAGGAAUACCUGACGGCGAAUACCCGUCAGACUGACAUUACCUAUAGAAAAAGCACCGGCUAACUCCGUGCCAGCAGCCGCGGUAAA